RNAcentral lists this long non-coding RNA (565 nucleotides) under Homo sapiens (human). Its description in RNAcentral is "HSALNT0329205". Lineage: Eukaryota; Metazoa; Chordata; Mammalia; Primates; Hominidae. The record is from RNAcentral.
UUCAUUUCCUUGGUUGUUCAGUUUAUGGCAAAAGACCCUCAGCUGUGUUUUGUUUACUAAUUCCCCUAAGCCUGCCUUAAAUCCAGACUGCCAGGGCCACAGGAAAUCUUUCAGACCCCUGACAGGUACGGAUAGGAUCUCACAUUGUCACUCAGGUUGGAGGGCAGUGGUGGGAUCACAGGUCACUGCAUCCUUGACCUCCUGGGCUGAAGUAGUCCUCCCGCCUCAGCCUCCGUGGUAGCUGGGACUACAGGCACAUGCCACUGCACGCAGUGUCUUCCUUUGGCUUUGGUAUCAAGGUAAUGCUGGCCUCAUAAGAUAUGGGGUCUCACUAUGUUGUCCAUGCUGAUCUCAAACUCCUGGGCUCAAGCAAUCUUCCCACCUCAGCCUCCCAAAGUGCUGGGAUUACAGGAGCACAAAGGAAAGGCCAUGCGAGGACACAGGGAGAAGACAGGCCCCUACCAGUCAGGAAGGGAGCCCUCACCAGAAACUGAGCUGGCCAGCACAAUGGUCUUGGACUUGUAGCUCCAGAACUGUGAGGAAAUAAAUUUCUGUUGUUGAAGCC